Molecule: long non-coding RNA, 389 nt
Filed under: Prunus persica (peach)
Lineage: Eukaryota; Viridiplantae; Streptophyta; Magnoliopsida; Rosales; Rosaceae
Description: long non-coding RNA (PPER_LNC007740)
Source: RNAcentral
AGAAAACCACCACCACCUUGUCAUGGUCAUCACGACCACUGCCCCAGCACUAUUACUAGCGCCAUCACCUCAUCCCGUCAACAUCACUGCCCCAACCAACUCCACCCCCUUUGUACCACCAACUUACCACUAACUAGAAACCCCACCACCAACAUUAGACAUGAUGGCACUGUCAACAAGUACAAUUAAUGUAUCUACCCACCACAACUACUCAUUUAUAGAUUGAGGCCACUAAAACGAUAAUCAUGUAAGCUCCAUUAUACUUUUAGAUUAACCAAACAACCAUCUUCACAAAUUUAAGAUCAUUAAAUUCAAUCAUUUUAGAAUUUCUUAGUAUUCCUAAAUUUCCUCAUCCAAACGCAUAAUUAAAUUGUUAAUUUUUAUUCCCA